Long non-coding RNA from Oreochromis aureus, 1797 nucleotides. NCBI's taxonomy places the organism in Eukaryota, Metazoa, Chordata, Actinopteri, Cichliformes, Cichlidae. The record is from Ensembl.
GUGAGCACACCAGACGAGUAAAUAAAUUAAUUUGAACCAUGGAGAUUACUCCUUGAAGACUUUAGCUAGCUCUCUGCUUUUUCCCAUUGCAACCAGCAGCAGAAACCCUCCUCAUUAACUCAUGAACAUCUUUUGGACCAUUAUAAUGACAGCCAGUGGCACUGCCUGUAUUACAGAGCACCGAUUAAGCACUUUAUUAAUUAAGUUAUUAAUUAAGUCUUACAACAGAAUCACACAGAGGGACCAAUUAGUAGAUGUGUAAUGAGCGGGCACACAGAUUAUGCAAGCAAACGAACUAAACACAUAACAAUCUAAUUAAUACAGGAACAUAAAUAGCACAGUGUAAUGACGCUAUGACAUAACUGAGCUUUUUGUUCUGUAUUUCUGAGGUAAACUGUACAUGUUUACGGGUUUUUGGCAGAGUACAAUUGUACAAGUGUGCAACGACACUGAUGUUUUAAUCUUAACAUUGUUGGAUUUUAAACAACUUAUUUAAUAUGUGAUCAUUUUUGGCUUCUAAAUAAAUCUAUAAACAAGUAAUUUAGAGUAAUUUGUAAACUUUAAUCAGAUAUUUGAUGUCUGAAUCAAAUGUUUGUCUUGCAAAAAAUGAACAGAGUCACUUAGAAGUACUUAGAUAACCAGCUCGGAUGUAAUCGUUCAGUCAUGAUUGUAUAAAGAGAAUGGUGAUUAUUUGGUAAAAACAGUAUCAGAGUCAGAAUCAAACAGCAUUACAUUUGAGUGAUUUUAGUGUGCAUUAUCUUCAGACUCUCUAAGCUGGCUUCAGGCCCAUCUUCUGAUGUCACAUAUCCCGGGUAAGUGGGGUAAAACUGGGGAGACGGUGGUUUAUCUGGUUUAUUUUCACCCGCUGACAAUGGCGGGAGGAAUAGUGGUAUCAGCUUGGCGUGAGCGUAGUCGAUCUCAAAACCCUCAAAAAUAAGCCCCACCCCCCAAGCGCCCAACCCAUCCUCCAGGAGCCGCGACACCUUCUUGGCAGCCAGCACCAGUCCCUCGUAAUCUUCUUUUUCCAGUCUGAAUAUAUCAGAGGUCAAAGGUCGGCGUGGGACUAACACAGUGAAUCCAGGGGAGUUGGGGAAUGGAGUGAGAAAAGCCACAUGACCUUUGUCCUCCCACACGCGCCACUGCUGCUCCUCACCACGAACAAUACGUGAGAACAGGGAAGGGUGAGCCGGAUCGUCCCCGAGGAAGGUCAGAUCAGGGGGGGCAUCAGGCAGCGGCAGUUUGGCUCGAAUCCUGGUCUGGAUUUCAGUCAGACUGGAGUCACUCCAUCGUGGGGCAGUCCUGGAAGUGCAGUAUCCCGGGUCAUGGGCGUUGUGCUCUUCUUCCCCAGCCAGAUGAGGGCGCCACUCUGCAUCCAGACCACACAGGGGGAGGAUACGGAUCUGUACAGGUCUAUCUCUGUGGGGUCUGCUGACCAGCGCACACCUCUGAACUCCCAGCCUGUCACAAAGCAGCUCUGCCACAGCUCUCGCCCCAAGCAGCCAGGACAAGUACUCUGGCUCCCCCAGGUGGAAAAUGCUGCCUCCUUGGGUCCCGGGGGUGCUGCUCUCCAGGAUGACAGAGCCCGGGGUCCAGGGCCAAGGGUGAAGGUAGGCUACCAGCCCAUCUGACUCCCAGAUGACGUGACGCCGAAGAGCGGACGACAUGCUGAGGAAAGGGAAGGAGAGAAAUAUGAAUCAGUCGUCUUUUUUACCCAUAGAUGCAGUUUGCAUAAUCAUUAAAUAAUCUUUCACAUAUAAAAUUUUUCCUCAUCUUUCAAGCCACAAAAACACUCUUCCC